RNAcentral lists this long non-coding RNA (947 nucleotides) under Citrus maxima (pomelo). RNAcentral describes it as "long non-coding RNA (CMAX_LNC000384)". Lineage: Eukaryota; Viridiplantae; Streptophyta; Magnoliopsida; Sapindales; Rutaceae. The record is from RNAcentral.
AAAACACUAUCAUAUUUUAUCCAAAGUCGAUAUAGAAAACCAUUAACCAACCAUUUUAAUAAAAUAUCAAUGUGUGAAUUAAAUAUAUUUCGAGAAAAUUAUUAAAUCAGAAUAUUUAAAAUACUUAUUUCGCAAACAUGCUUUACUAUCAUAAUUAACCAUGAAAACAUGUUUCGUAUAUUUCACUCACAAUGACGACGCUUAGACUUGGUUAUCGUCCACACCUGCAGACCUGUUCUCGCUCGCGGAUCCUCCUAAAUCAAGGAAACGACAUAAUUAUUUUUCGUAAAUUUAAAUUAAGACUAAAUUUAUGCAAUGAACUCGAAACGAACAUCUAUCCAUAAUUUACAGCUCCUGAGCGAUAAAAUUACCAAAAUACCCUCGAGUUCGUAAAUCAUUAAAAUACUCUGAAAUCAUAAAUCAUAAAUCAUCGAAUUACCUCGGAAUCGUAAUUACAACCAAUCCUCAAUUUCAGAACUUACUAAAACCUCUACAAGGUCAGAAAUCACAAAAUUGCCCUCAAAAUAUGAAAUUACCGAAUUGCCGUCACCGGUCAAUGGUGACCGGAAUUCAGUCAACGGUGGUCGGGAAGCUCAGGUCUAAUAGUUCCAGUCCAAUGGUGCCGGCGGUGACCUCCCACACGCGACGAUGGUGCUGGAAUCUAUCUCGACAACUGUGAACCUCCAAGUGGCCGUUCGAUGACAAUCUGGCCAUUUUAGGUGAUGGGUCCGGUCGGAAAAUGAUGGGGGUGAGCUGAGGAGUGAAACCCAGCCGAUGGCAUGCUACAAAUCCGGUGAAAUUGACGACGACGGUGACAACUGGGAUAUAACGGCCAGUCUUCAAGCUUCAGAUUGGUACUGUGCUCAACCGGUGAGGUGGCUGAAAAUCGGAUAUGGCCGGGUCGUGGGUUUGGGUUGAGUUUCAGGUCAGUUUGAUGGCUUCCUCUC